This 304-nucleotide unclassified non-coding RNA is filed under the name uncultured Chalastospora. RNAcentral describes it as "sequence contains ITS1". The stretch from base 1 to 105 matches the Rfam family "5.8S ribosomal RNA", at positions 50 to 154 of the family's 154-position model. The record is from RNAcentral. Lineage: Eukaryota; Fungi; Ascomycota; Dothideomycetes; Pleosporales.
GAAAUGCGAUACGUAGUGUGAAUUGCAGAAUUCAGUGAAUCAUCGAAUCUUUGAACGCACAUUGCGCCCUUUGGUAUUCCAAAGGGCAUGCCUGUUCGAGCGUCAUUUGUACCCUCAAGCUUUGCGUGGGGUUGGGCGUCUUGUCUCCAGGUCGCGGGAGACUCGCCUUAAAGUAAUUGGCAGCCGGCCUAAUGUUUUCGGAGCUCAGCACAAGUCGCGCUCUCAUCCAGCCAAUGUCAGCGUCCAGUAAGCCUUUUUUUCAACUUUUGACCUCGGAUCAGGUAGGGAUACCCGCUGCACUUAA